RNAcentral lists this ribosomal RNA (453 nucleotides) under uncultured Alloprevotella sp. RNAcentral's name for it is "partial 16S ribosomal RNA". It matches the Rfam family "Bacterial small subunit ribosomal RNA", at positions 341 to 792 of the family's 1533-position model. Lineage: Bacteria; Pseudomonadati; Bacteroidota; Bacteroidia; Bacteroidales; Prevotellaceae. The record is from RNAcentral.
ACGGGAGGCAGCAGUGAGGAAUAUUGGUCAAUGGGCGGAAGCCUGAACCAGCCAAGUAGCGUGCAGGAUGACGGCCCUAUGGGUUGUAAACUGCUUUUGUGCGGGGAUAAAAAGCGGGACGUGUCCCGCCUUGUAGGUACCGCAAGAAAAAGGACCGGCUAAUUCCGUGCCAGCAGCCGCGGUAAUACGGAAGGUCCGGGCGUUAUCCGGAUUUAUUGGGUUUAAAGGGAGCGUAGGCGGAUUAUCAAGUCAGUGGUAAAAUCGUGUGGCCCAACCAUACCUCGCCAUUGAAACUGUUAGUCUUGAGUGCACGCAGGGAUGCUGGAAUUCGUUGUGUAGCGGUGAAAUGCUUAGAUAUGACGAAGAACUCCGAUCGCGAAGGCAGGUGUCUGGAGUGCAACUGACGCUGAGGCUCGAAAGUGCGGGUAUCAAACAGGAUUAGAUACCCUGGUA